RNAcentral lists this microRNA precursor (88 nucleotides) under Petromyzon marinus (sea lamprey). RNAcentral's name for it is "microRNA pma-mir-430b precursor". Its record names the gene pma-mir-430b. Lineage: Eukaryota; Metazoa; Chordata; Hyperoartia; Petromyzontiformes; Petromyzontidae. The record is from miRBase by way of RNAcentral.
GUCUGUUCACGUUCACAACAACUUCGAGCGCUCUGCUUAAUAUGUUGACUGGCAAGAGCUUGAAUGUUGUUGUGAAUGUGAGUCAGAC